UUUAGGGUUUUUUGGGUGGACCCCACCCUCUUUAGAAUAGGACUCACGGCCUUGGAAGCUCCAGCCGUCACUUUGCAUUAGGAUUUUUUUGGCUUUGAACACUUGAGAGGGCGGCAACGUUUUUAAGAUGGGGGGAGCUGAAUCUAGUUCAUGGUCUUGGAGCGUGGAGUUGUAGAUGCUCUCUUUCUGUUGUUUUGGGAAUCACACGGUGACAAUUAUUCUUUGCUGAAGAAAAAAAAUUGCUUUGUAUUUCCAUUAGAUUAUGCGUUACUUUUGUUGUAGCCGCCACUUUGCUUUGCUUAGUUUUCCUUGAAUUUCUUUUAGACAAAUGGAUGAAUUUUUAUUGAGCACCGAUCAAACUUUUGCUUUAGAUAAUCCCUACUAGCUUUCCAUUCUAGCCUAUGCUACAGAGUUGCAGCGUUGUCUUAAUAUAUUAGAUGGAUAAGAAGUUUUGAUUAGAAAGGAGUUGGUGUAUGCGGAGAGACAUUUUGUCCAACAGAUGGGACUACCCCUAAGUAUUCCAUUUUUAUUUGUCUUUCUUUGCUUUGAAGAAAAAGUGAAGCACGGUUACGUUUGAUGAUUAAAUGUGGGGAAAUCUUCGGCUUUUAUUAAAUGAGAAGUAGAUUAGGUUGAGUCUGAUGUGAUGGGAUGUUGUGGUAGUAAUUUUUCUUUUAUUUCUUUGAAAAAAAAGAAACUUGGAGAUGGAUUGGAAUGGUGAGGUCCGGUGCUUAAUUCCCUUGAACUUUGACUCCAUUUUGAAGAAUAGAAGAGGUGCAACGUGAAGAGUGCAUCCCGUUGAUGUGUUGCUGCUGUCACGGCAUUUGACAUUUUAAAUCACACUUUCCUUGAAGAAUGGUCACGGAUAAGGAGGAAGUAAUAAGCAAGACCUAUUCAACUUUUUGUUUGAAGUGAUAGCUUGAUUGGGAGUAGGUGUACACAUUGCUUGAAGAAAGUAUAGUCUUCAUUUCCUUUCUUUAUUCAAUUAGUUGGCUGUCUUCAUUUUGCAAAGAAAGGCAUAUAAUCUCAAUUGGAAACAAAAGGGGAAAUACACGUCCUGGUAGAGGAAGGCACGUUGAUUUGUGUGGUGUCAUCUAAUAAGGUUUUGCAUUUUGCUUUAAACUAGAGAAUGGUGCAGCGGUUUUGAACAUUGGCAGAUUAUCCUUAUUCCUUUAAGAAAUGACGUGUUGGAGGUUGGUGUGCAAGGAUGUCACGGUUAAAGAGUCCUAUUUUAGAAGCAUUUAUGAUUUCAAUUUCUUUGAGUAGAUGCAUAUGGACACGCGAAUUGGUAGAAGCAACUUUAUUUUUUCUUAUUUUUCUUUUGUCUUAGAAUAUUUUACAUUACGUGACUAAUUAUUUUUCAUCUCUUUAAUUGGGUGUUGCAUUUUAAUGAUUUUAACUGUGCUUAGGUAUUUGUUUACUCUAGUCUUGGGUUUAGCAUUUUCACUCUCUUUAAUGCUUUCUAUGAUGUUCGAAUGUGUUUAAUUUUUAUUUUUAAUUUCAUCACGUGCAUUCACAAACAAAACUUUUCACCAAACCCCCUCUUCGUGUUAGAAUCGAUUCUCGAAUCGCAAAAUUGGUCUUUUGGAGACGACCUAGGGGUCAUUCCCUAACUAUACUGCAUUUCUCAUAUGCAAUCAAAUUUGUAUGGGCCGCGACACCCAUCAAUAGGCUAUUCGACUAUGAAUCAAUUUGAUGAAACAAAAAACUAUAAAUAGACAGAACGCGAAUUGUUUUGUGACUUUUGUGAUCUGACAUUUUCAUUUUCCUGUUUCAUAUUGAAUUCGUUAGUAGUUCCAAGAAUUCUCCAAGAAGACGGUGAUGACCUUGCUUGAGAGGAAUUCAGAAGGAGAAGUCAUUGUUCUCACUGUUUGAUCAAUAUUCACACAGAGAGGUGCUUCUGGGUUGAUCAAGGCUUGGCAUUCUACGAAAGACUGUUGGUUUUUGAUUGAAGGCUUAGCAACCUGUGAAGUCUGCUGUGAUAGGCUUGGCAUCCUGUGAAGAAUGCUGGUGACACGUUGAGGAUUGUUUGACGUGGGUGCAGAUUGCAGGAGAGGGGAUUCUUGCUGCAAUUCUGGUUUUGUGUGUGCAACUAUAUUUGGUUUUGGGUUAGAGAGGAGAUUUAUAUUUUUGUGUGGUGCUUCUAUAAAUUCCUUGUUGUAAAAACCACAACCAUUAUAGUGUAUUUGCUUCCUGGGUUGGAAGGACACUAGAUGUAUGCAUUGUUGGCCGAACUAGUAUAAACACAGUGUUUGAAUUUUCUGAUCCCUACACUCUUUAUUUUCCAGUUGACUAUA
RNAcentral lists this long non-coding RNA (2294 nucleotides) under Vigna radiata. Its description in RNAcentral is "long non-coding RNA (VRAD_LNC014301)". The record is from RNAcentral. Lineage: Eukaryota; Viridiplantae; Streptophyta; Magnoliopsida; Fabales; Fabaceae.